GGUCCCUUAGCACAAAGGCUAGUGCGCCCAACUCAUAAUUGGAACGAUGUGGGUUCGAAUCCCACGGGGACCA
This is a transfer RNA of 73 nucleotides. It matches the Rfam family "tRNA". Rfam says of the family: Transfer RNA (tRNA) molecules are approximately 80 nucleotides in length. Their secondary structure includes four short double-helical elements and three loops (D, anti-codon, and T loops). The record is from Rfam.